This is a transfer RNA of Camelus ferus (Wild Bactrian camel), 73 nucleotides long. It matches the Rfam family "tRNA". Rfam says of the family: Transfer RNA (tRNA) molecules are approximately 80 nucleotides in length. Their secondary structure includes four short double-helical elements and three loops (D, anti-codon, and T loops). Further hydrogen bonds mediate the characteristic L-shaped molecular structure. tRNAs have two regions of fundamental functional importance: the anti-codon, which is responsible for specific mRNA codon recognition, and the 3' end, to which the tRNAs corresponding amino acid is attached (by aminoacyl-tRNA synthetases). tRNAs cope with the degeneracy of the genetic code in two manners: having more than one tRNA (with a specific anti-codon) for a particular amino acid; and 'wobble' base-pairing, i.e. permitting non-standard base-pairing at the 3rd anti-codon position. Lineage: Eukaryota; Metazoa; Chordata; Mammalia; Artiodactyla; Camelidae. The record is from Rfam.
GAAGAUACAGCUCAAGUGGCAGAGCACAUGCUUAGCAUGCACAAGGUGCUGGGUUCAAUCCCCAGUACCUCCU